Molecule: unclassified non-coding RNA, 352 nt
Filed under: soil metagenome
Description: partial contains 5.8S ribosomal RNA, internal transcribed spacer 2, and large subunit ribosomal RNA
Rfam family: 5.8S ribosomal RNA (bases 1-120)
Source: RNAcentral
GAUGAAGAACGUAGCGAAAUGCGAUAAGUAAUGUGAAUUGCAGAAUUCAGUGAAUCAUCGAAUCUUUGAACGCACAUUGCGCCCGCCAGUAUUCUGGCGGGCAUGCCUGUUCGAGCGUCAUUACAACCCUCAGGCCCCCGGGCCUGGCGUUGGGGAUCGGCGGAGCCCCCCGUGGGCACACGCCGUCCCCCAAAUACAGUGGCGGUCCCGCCGCAGCUUCCAUCGCGUAGUAGCUAACACCUCGCGACUGGAGAGCGGCGCGGCCACGCCGUAAAACACCCAACUCUUCUGAAGUUGACCUCGAAUCAGGUAGGAAUACCCGCUGAACUUAAGUAUAUCAAUAAGCGGAGGA